Non-coding RNA from Phascolarctos cinereus (koala), 1889 nucleotides. The record is from RefSeq and is a predicted model, not a curated record. NCBI's taxonomy places the organism in Eukaryota, Metazoa, Chordata, Mammalia, Diprotodontia, Phascolarctidae.
UGGACUCAAAGGUCAACCAGAGAAUCAGUUUCUCUAUCUUUUUGUCUGUGAAUCUUUUAAGGUUAACAUUAUACCUGUACUUCUUCAUCUUUAGGAGUACUCCUAGGAAGAGCUUAGCUGUUUAAGUCCUGUGCACAAAUGUCCUAUCACAACCACCACCAUUACCUUUGAAAAGUGAGUUUUCUUCAGGUUCUCCAUCUUUUUGCCUGUGAGUCCCUUAAAGUUAACAUGAUUUCUUCAUUUGUGGGUGCUAGGAUUAUUCCAGUGAAGAGCUGUGUAAUCUCCAUUUCUGGAUAAAUUUCAUUUUGAAAAGAUCACUGUUCUUUCAGAAAGGAAGAGACCAGAGGAUGACACAGAAUAAGCAGCUUGGUUACUUUGACAGGUCUGGAUUAUUCCCAGGAAGAGAUAAGGAGUCUUCUUCCUGUGGACAAAUAUCAUUUUGACUAGCUCACUGUUUCUUUUCAAAGGAUUAUUCCCAGAAACAGCUGAGCAACCUUCCCCUUAUGGACAAAUUUCAUUUUGACAAGCUCACUCUUUCUUUUCAAAGGUCAGAGAGCUGAGAAGUGAGGUCACAUGACUUGGCCUUCCUGACAUGACUGAUGGAGAUACCUGGAAGAUGUGAGAAGUGACCCUCUGGUUCACAAAUGUCCUGCUGCAACUAUCCCUCUUCCCUCUGAUAUGUAAGUCUCUUAGAUUCCUUUAUCUUUUGCCAAAGAUGGUUGAUGGUUGCCCUUGGGGUUGACAUUGGACCUUGCCUGAGGGAUCUGCUUUAAUGUGAUGCACAUAUAUCUAUUCUUCUGUCCACUCCAGGUAUGCCAGAUGUUUUUCUUUCUGUUCAGGAUUAAUCACAAUAACAACAGCAACAAAAACAGCCAUAAUAAUAACUUCACCUACCAAAUCAGAAACAAGGACAGCAAAUAUUGAAGGAGUACAGUAUGUGUAUAUUAUCUCCUUUGAGCCAACGACAGACCUCUGAUUCCAAUGCUCUUGGUGGUCCAAUUGUCGGAGGAAUUAAAUGAUGCUAAGUGACAGACUUGGGCUUUUUAUAUUUCUGUUUUAAUAUUUCAUUUUCCUUCAUCCUACACGCAUUCAAAGAUGGCAAAGAAAUACACAUUGCUAGCAGAAAAAGUUCCUGCAGGCUCAGUUCAGACUCUGGGGCCUCCCCCAGAUGUCACUUUGGCCUUUCUUUUGACUCUAAGUACCUUAAGGUUAACCUUAUUUCUCUCUUAAUUGGUUCUAGAAUUAUUCUCAGUAAGAGCUGAGUCUUUCUCCUGUGGACUAGUUUCAUUUUGACAAGCUCACUGUUUCUUUUCAAAGGUCAGAGAGCUGAGGAUGAGUGAUGUCAUGUCACUUGGCCCUCAUAACAUGUCUGGUGUGCCAGGACUGUUCCUUUCUGUUCAAGAUUAAUCACAAGGACAACAGUAAUGAAAACCACAAUGAUCUCUUCAACUACAAAGACAGAAACAACUACAACAAAUAUCAUUUAUGGAGUACAGUGUGUGUAUGUUAUCUCCUCUGACCCAGCAGCAGACUUCUGAUUUUGAUGCUCUUUGUAGUCCAAUUGGCAGAAGAAUUAAGUGAUACUAAGACAUGAAAUGGGACUUUGCCAGGAUGACAUAUCUCAUAGGUGACUUAGGUGGGAUACCUGGUUGGGCUUUCCUACUUCCAUGUCCAAGUCUCUAAGACUUUUUGCUAUUGACCAUCAUUUUUCCUCCUGUGGUUCAUUUUGUUCUUGGUUUUUGAAAAAAAUUAUUAUUUAAUUUAGACUUGUUUUUAAAAAAGUUUUUGCUCUGAAUUCUCUCUGUUACUUUUUCCCUAUCUGAAUGGGAUGUCCCAGUGAAGACUCCUCAGUGUAAUUAAGGUUUGGGAUAAGGCUGAGUGGGAUGAGG